UGAAGAAUUCCCCCUUGCAUCACUACGACGAGUUGAUGUCACUUUCUGUGGAGGAGAUGGAUAUAAAGAGACCCCGGUGGUUCAUCCUUCACAAUCCACCUGUCUCUGCUGAGUCCUGAACCUCCUAGUCCUCUCGCUUUGCCUGGAAGACCAAGACAGCACCAGUGACCUUGUGAAGCCACAAGAGAAGAGAUGAAAGCCACCAUGUUCAGCCUCAUCAAAGUCCUGCUGCUCCUGAGCCUGCUGGCAUCGCUCUCCAGCGCCCAGAGACCUCAGACGAGCCGUUGUCUCUGUUCACGCUUCCAAAGAUAUAGCGAAGAUGCACAAACAUUCGACAUCCACAAUCCAUCCGCUUUCUGUGACAAAAUGGAGAUUGUUGUGACUAGGAAGGAUGGUGGGAAGUUCUGUGUGAAUCCCAACUCCAAAAGCGGUCGCCACCUUCAAAAGAAGAAGGCUACAACUCAAGCUCUACAACCCCCCCCUGAGUGAAGAAUAAGGCUACAACUCCUAGCUCUACAACCACCUCUGAGUGAGGAAUAGGCUACAACUCCUAGGUCUACAACCCCAGCAGCUAUGUCUGAGUGAAGCCUCAACAGAGGUUUAAUCCACACAACCACGCCACUGAAGAAUACAAUGUCAAAGCACAAGGGUUACUUCUUUUUUUAAUAUAUUUUAUAUAUUUAUAUAUAUUGUGGAUUGUGGAUAUUUAUAUAUAUAUAUAUAAUAUUUGUGUAGCACUUUUCGAAACAGGAUUACAAAGUGAACAGAACAGAAUAAAACAUUAUUAAUUAUGUAAUUUACACUUACAUUUACAUUUAGGGCAUUUAGCAGACGCUUUUAUCCAAAGCGACUUACAAUAAGUACAUUUGUCAUAAGAAGUGCAUCAAUAUAUCGCUGUUGGUACAGAAAGGAUGUUCAUAGAACCAAGUGCAAAUACAACAAUCGCUAGGCUAACCAAUUCCCUGUGUUACAGCCAUGAUAGCAGCUACUGCAGUGAUAGCAGCUGUAUUAUACAUAUGUAUUAUAUACUUAUGUAUUAUACUUAAGCUAUUUUGUUCUAUGAUGUCUUAGGCCAAGUCUACUCCAUGUCUUUUUUUAUAUUGUGCAUUGUGUGUAUAUAACGCGUUGUACUAUAGUCCUACUUUGAUCUCUAAUGUAUAAUAAAAUGAUUAAUACAUAA
This is a long non-coding RNA of Gadus morhua (Atlantic cod), 1180 nucleotides long. RefSeq lists it as uncharacterized. The record is from RefSeq and is a predicted model, not a curated record. Lineage: Eukaryota; Metazoa; Chordata; Actinopteri; Gadiformes; Gadidae. The transcript has 4 exons.